GCCUGGUUGGCUCAGCUGGAGGAGCAUGUGGCUCUUGAGCUUGGGGUUGUGAGUUCGAGUCCCACACUGGGUG
This 73-nucleotide transfer RNA is filed under the name Ailuropoda melanoleuca (giant panda). It matches the Rfam family "tRNA". From Rfam's summary of the family: Transfer RNA (tRNA) molecules are approximately 80 nucleotides in length. The record is from Rfam by way of RNAcentral. Lineage: Eukaryota; Metazoa; Chordata; Mammalia; Carnivora; Ursidae.